GAGGAAGUAAUAGUAAUUUUAAGGUCGCUAAAAUAUGUUUUGCUGUAGCUGCUUAUCUGCUGGUAGAGUUUGUUUAUCAAUGAUGUUAACGGAGACAUAUUAUGCUUCUCCUGCUUUUUCAACCUUUUAAUUGUGUUACAAUGUUGGAUGGCCAUGUUAAAGAAUGCCAAAGUGUUAGAUACUGAGAUAAGCAUAUGUGGGAGAAAGUCCUGGGGGCAGUUUUGGCUGCCUUCCAACGCCAGCCUUUUGUUUUGCUUUUUCUGAGCAGGACUCAGUCUCUCUAACACUAAGAAUGAUGUCUAUAAAAUAGGCACUCUGCUCCAUGCUCAGGCUGCUCCCUCUCCUCCCCUCCUCCCUCUGCGCAACUGUUCUCCCCCUCCCUUUCCACCGGUCUGCCUGAGUGCGUCUCAGCUAAGAGGAGUUUCUGGAAAGUUAACUUUGUUCAGCGUCCCCAUGGAGGCAAGCACUUGACAGAAAUGGAUGUGCUUUGUUUUCCAGCCAGCAAAAGCCAAAUACGGCCAUGUAUGUUUGUUCAUGCUAUACUUAACAGAGGACUGUUUACUAAACAAGUCAAAGUAGGAAGCUGGCUAUGUGGCUAAGCUAAUGCUGACGGACUGUACCGUUCUGUCAAUACAGUGGAGGACUCUGAAGCACAAUCGUACAUCACAACAUAUGCCUUCCACUGCAAAGCUUCCCAAAAAACAAGAAGAGACAAUGCACUGCAAAUCCUGUGGAAAAUUAGCCAACAUUCAAAACUGUUGAAGGAAGAAGUCAUUACAAGGCAAGACAUCAUAUCUGGCAUACAACACAAAAAGGGAUGACGAUCCUCACACGUCUUCCCAGGUAUCUCUAACACCAGCUAAUAAAGCUGCAGUAUGCAAGAUAUCUG
Long non-coding RNA from Plectropomus leopardus (leopard coralgrouper), 889 nucleotides. RefSeq lists it as uncharacterized. The record is from RefSeq and is a predicted model, not a curated record. Lineage: Eukaryota; Metazoa; Chordata; Actinopteri; Perciformes; Serranidae.